This 3451-nucleotide long non-coding RNA is filed under the name Musa acuminata (dwarf banana). RNAcentral's name for it is "long non-coding RNA (MACU_LNC003859)". Lineage: Eukaryota; Viridiplantae; Streptophyta; Magnoliopsida; Zingiberales; Musaceae. The record is from RNAcentral.
AUAGAUCACAUCGACCAUAUCAAGCGCCACUCGCUUGCCAGCGUCCGCGUAUUCGGAGAUUGCUCCGCAUACUGCAACUCUACCAAAGAGGUUCAUGUUGGCGACUGCAGCCUCUAACAUCGCAGAACCAACGUUGUCGAAGUAUAUGUCGAUUCCUUCCGGGAAGUACCUAUUCAUAGAAGUAAUCAGGAAGUAUGAACUGCUGCUUGCAAAGAUCGAUACAAGAUGGGAUCUGUCUUACCUUCUAAGAGCAGACUUCAGAUCAGGUUCUUCUUUGUAGUUAAACGCGUCAUCAAAUCCAAGCUUCUCUUUUAGAAGAUCCACCUUCGUCUUGCUUCCGGCGCAUCCCACGACGUAGCAGCCAGAGAGCUUGGCGUAUUGGCCGACCAAACUCCCCACCGAACCGGAUGCUGCGGAGACGAAGACCGUCUCCCCCUUCUUCGGCUUGCAGAUGUCGUAGAAGCCAGCGUAAGCUGUCAAUCCACUCGUCCCUGCGGCAAACAGCAGUGCGUUAUGAUCAGAGUGUCUCGUGGCCUUCUCCGUCUGUCAAUCUUGUGGAUCCAUUUCCUGCGUCUCUCUGAUAAUUACCUAAGAUGCUCGCAUGGUAUGACAGCGGGAACUCAUGCGGGUCAACCUUGGUCAACGUGGUUCCCGGCCGGACGACCGUGUAUUCCUCCCAGGCCAGAAGUCCGACCACCACAUCGUCUCUUUCGAACUCCUGGUUCCCUGAGACCACCACCUUCCCCACUCCGAAGGCAUCGAUUCUCUGUAGCAAAGGUCGCCAGAUGCACGCCGAGCUCGUGAAGAAACAAGCUAGCAAACCCAACGAACGACGAUAAUUAACAGGAAGCUCGCCUGCCCGGGCUGGAUGCGUGUUGCAGCAGCAGAGGUCUUCUGUGUGGAACUGUACGUCUUCAUGCGGUUGAGCUGGUAGGGAUCGAUCGACAGGAACAAGUUCUUGACGACUACUUCCUUGGACCCCUGCGCGGCGGAGAGGACAAGCGGUGCGCUCCGGAGCUCGAAGUCGGACUCGUUGGGGAGGCCAUCGAUGGCGUGCUUGAUGAUGAUGUGCUUGUUCUCCACCUCCAUCCUCGCUGCGCUCUCUGUUCUUGCCAAUGGCGGCUAGUUAACGAUCCCUUGCUGCGUAACGAUAAACACGCCAAUCUGGCAGAUAGAAGAAAGAGUGUCCUCGUCCUUUUAUUAUUUUAAUAUUUUUGAUAUUAUAUCAUUAUAAUUUUAAAUUAUAAAAAUUAUGAUAACAUGAAGAUUCUAUCAAUAAUAAAAAUCAUAAUAUCAAUAUGAUUUUCUAAAUUAUAAAAUAAUUUAAUAAAUAUUUUAUAUUGAUUAUUAAUUAAAAAUAUAUAUAAUUAUCAUAUUUUGUAAUCUCUCUUUGUGUAUAUAAAUUCAUAGUCACUCUCAAUUAAAAAAUUAAUUAAUUAUUUUUUCUCAUGAUAUCAUAACCAUAAUUGCUCAAAAGAUUUUUUUAAUUUUAUUUUUACUAUUAUUUCUUUAUACCUUUUCCUUUAUCAUAGUUAAAGGUAAUGCUUUGCUGUACCUAUUCUUUCAACUGGUUGAAUAUAGCAUUACAAUUUCUAUUUAGUUUUAUACUUUAAUAAACUUUUCUUUUUUAUAAGUGCCUUUGCAUUUUUUUUUUCUUGACUUUUUGGCAUGAUCGGUAAUAACUCUUCGUAUCACCCCCAAUUAUUUUACUAUUGAAAAUACUAUUGACUCCAUUAACAUUGCAAUCCAAGCUCCUCUCAAACUCAUAUUCACAAACUAUAUCUCUUAUUAUACUUGAUUAUUUAAUCGAUUAUGAUAUUAUGGGUUAAGUAAAUAAUAUCAUCACUUUUCCUCUACAAAUGAUUAGAGAGAAUAAUCUUAAGAUUAUUAAUCCUAAAUAUAUUUUUUUAAUAGGUCAAUAUCAUUUUUUUAGAAGUGUUAUCAUUACCUUUCUCUCUCAUCAAAUUAUUCCUUAGUCUCUACAAAUUUUUUCUUACGAAGUAUAGUCCAAAUUUACAAUAAUAUACAUCAACCAAUCUCGUAGUCACCUAAUGCAACUUCUAGAAAUUCUUUAAAACUCUAAUGAUAAAGAGAUCAUUUUUUUCAUGUAUUAAAUAUUCUUGGUCCAAAUUAUAAGGAGAUCUCGUGAUAAACUUAUAAGUUUUGAAGAAUUAUGAGACAAGUCAAUCGAUCAUCUCGGGAUAACACAGUGAAACUCACUCUCUCUAAUACCCCUUUCAUCGUCGUCCGAUAAUGCAGGUACCAUGGGACCCACCAUUGUCUCCUAUCACAAUGUAAACAAUUCAUUCUCCUACUGUACAUUAUUGACGAUAAAAAGAUUCGAGUGAAUUUUUAGAAAAAAUAUUUAUUUUUUUGAAAUUCUUCACAUAACAUUCAUAUUUUAAAAUAAUUAAAUAUUUUUUAAUAAUCAUUUUAUCCUUACUUUAGUUAAACCCUUUACCCAGCCCAGCCCAUUAGCCAUCGCCUGCAUUGUCACCUUCGUCGGAACUCAAUAAUCAAUGAUGAUGGCGCUCGUUCGAUGCCAGUGGAGUGUGAACUUAUGCGUGAUGAAAGGAGACGAUCAACUCUAGCACAAGAGCUAUAGUGGAGGGAGCGAUCCGCAUGAAGAAAGGGACUUGCAAGCUUCGACGAGGAUUACGAGCAAUGAUUGGGAUGACAGAGGUAAUGAUGGGUCCCGUAGAAAAACAAAAGGUAAAAUAAAAUUUUCAUAAAAUUAGUAAGAACAUGUAAAUUUUUGAAAAAUAAACGUUUUUUCGAAAAUUCGCCAAAAGCUUUCCGCUCUUAUUCAUCACAAGCAAUUCAGUCUAUCACAAACUUGUCAAAUGCACGAGCUUUUUGCCGACAUUAUCACCUCGAAACAGCCCAGCAAAAGCAGAUGGCACGCUUUCGAGGCCAGUGGAUAUGUCUUCGACUGCUCGCAUUCUGCCAUGGCGAAGAUGGUCGGAUGUGGACGAUAUGAAUCCAGCGUACACGUGAAGGUGAUCGAAGGCGAGGAACCCGCGGAGUGUGAUCCGUUUAUAGAUCACAUCGACCGUAUCAAGCGCCAGUCGCUUGCCAGCGUCCGCGUAUUCGGAGAUUGCUCCGCAUACUGCAACUCUACCAAAAAGGUUCAUGUUGGCGACUGCAGCCUCUAACAUCGCAGAACCAACGUUGUCGAAGUAUAUGUCGAUUCCUUCCGGGAAGUACCUAUUCAUAAAAGUAAUCAGGAAGUAUGAACUGCUGCUUGCAAAGAUCGAUACAAGAUGGGAUCUGUCUUACCUUCUAAGAGCAGACUUUAGAUCAGGUUCUUCUUUGUAGUUAAACGCGUCAUCAAAUCCAAGCUUCUCUUUUAGAAGAUCCACCUUCGUCUUGCUUCCGGCGCAUCCCACGACGUAGCAGCCAGAGAGCUUGGCGUAUUGGCCGACCAAACUCCCCACCGAACCGGAUGCUG